CAAUAGCGUAUAUUAAAGUUGUUGCAGUUAAAAAGCUCGUAGUUGGAUUUCCGGCGUGAGGGAUCAGUCUGACUUCUAGUCAGUACUUGGUCCUCUCAUGCCGUCCUUGAAUGGUGCAUCCUGGCAUUAAGUUGUCGGGGUGAGAGCCGUUCAUCGUUUACUGUGAGAAAAUUAGAGUGUUCAAAGCAGGCUUAUGCCGUUGAAUAUAUUAGCAUGGAAUAAUAGAAUAGGACUUUGGUUCUAUUUUGUUGGUUUCUAGGACCGAAGUAAUGAUUAAUAGGGACAGUUGGGGGCAUUUUUAUUCCAUUGUCAGAGGUGAAAUUCUUGGAUUAACGGAAGAAAAACUACUGCGAAAGCAUCUGCCAAGGAUGUUUUCAUUGAUCAAGAACGAAAGUUAGGGGAUCGAAGACGAUCAGAUACCAU
Molecule: ribosomal RNA, 423 nt
Filed under: uncultured eukaryote
Lineage: Eukaryota
Description: bacterial SSU rRNA
Rfam family: Eukaryotic small subunit ribosomal RNA
Source: RNAcentral